AGCAGGUCCAAAGAUAAUAGGUUAUCUCAAUUGUUCAGUCAGUUACAGAUCAAACUCUUUGUUCAACUCUUUCCCCCCUUCUCACUACUACACUUGACUAGUCUUAA
Molecule: Y RNA, 107 nt
Filed under: Microcebus murinus (gray mouse lemur)
Lineage: Eukaryota; Metazoa; Chordata; Mammalia; Primates; Cheirogaleidae
Description: Y RNA (ENSMICG00000047857.1)
Rfam family: Y RNA
About the family: Y RNAs are components of the Ro ribonucleoprotein particle (Ro RNP), in association with Ro60 and La proteins.
Source: Rfam by way of RNAcentral